CACCCGUGAGAGAUUCCUGCUGCUAUUUUCGAAGGUCAAGCCGGUCAUGUCUCAUGUUCCAAUGUAUUUGCGGCAGCUAGUUUACGGCAGUGCCAGGCCGGUAUGGUAGCAUCCUGUGCACGAGAUCCAGAGGAUCAGGUUCCACGCCUGGAACCCGCCAACAUUAGCUUUUCUCGUGUAUUUUUACAAAGGUAGUGGUGGUGGUUGGUGCGUCGCGCGUCAUCGAGUGGUUCGUCUGACAAGAGAAGACGCGCUGAAGAUCGAACCAUUGAGAUCUGGAGUAUAGCUUGUCCCGCGGAGAGCAGGCUCACAUCUCCAUAUUGUUUUCUCCUACCAUCAUCCAAGGAUCCAAGGACUGUAUAACAGUGGAUACUGUAUACAGGAUCACAGGCACUGCCAAACUACUGAAAUGAAGGUCAUGGCGUGUUCAAUGUCAGGCUAGCAACUCACUUUUAACGAGCAGCAUCUGGAUCUCGGCUCAUCUGGGUACACUGCCAACAAUGAAAAAUGCGAGCCAGCAACGAUUGUGACUAGAUCAACGUCUGAUAUUACUACAGUUACGUGCCCGCAUGGCGUUAAAGCGAUCUACAUGCAUUGUUGUAGGAAUCCAGCGUAGUUGGUCUGUAAUAGCUGAUUAUAUAUAUAUAUAUCAAAUAAAAACAGCAGACGCGCAGGUAAAAUGUUCA
Long non-coding RNA from Ornithodoros turicata, 686 nucleotides. RefSeq lists it as uncharacterized. The transcript has 3 exons. NCBI's taxonomy places the organism in Eukaryota, Metazoa, Arthropoda, Arachnida, Ixodida, Argasidae. The record is from RefSeq and is a predicted model, not a curated record.